Molecule: ribosomal RNA, 164 nt
Filed under: Saranthe sp. Kress 96-5737
Lineage: Eukaryota; Viridiplantae; Streptophyta; Magnoliopsida; Zingiberales; Marantaceae
Description: 5.8S ribosomal RNA
Rfam family: 5.8S ribosomal RNA
About the family: 5.8S ribosomal RNA (5.8S rRNA) is a component of the large subunit of the eukaryotic ribosome. It is transcribed by RNA polymerase I as part of the 45S precursor that also contains 18S and 28S rRNA.
Source: RNAcentral
AGAAUGACUCUCGGCAACGGAUAUCUCGGCCCUCGCAUCGAUGAAGAACGUAGCGAAAUGCGAUACGUGGUGUGAAUUGCAGAAUCCCGCGAACCAUUGAGUCUUUGAACGCAAGUUGCGCCUGAGGCCUUGCCGCCGAGGGCACGCCUGCCUGGGCGUCACGC